Molecule: ribosomal RNA, 329 nt
Filed under: uncultured eukaryote
Lineage: Eukaryota
Description: partial 18S ribosomal RNA
Rfam family: Eukaryotic small subunit ribosomal RNA
Source: RNAcentral
CCCUUAGAUGUUCUGGGCUGCACGCGCGCUACACUGAUGCGCUCAACGAGUUUACGAACUUGCCCGGAAGGGUUGGUUAAUCUUUUUAAAACGCAUCGUGAUGGGGAUAGAUUAUUGCAAUUAUUAAUCUUCAACGAGGAAUUCCUAGUAAGCGCGAGUCAUCAGCUCGUGCUGAUUACGUCCCUGCCCUUUGUACACACCGCCCGUCGCUCCUACCGAUUGAAUGGUCCGGUGAAGCGUUCGGACCGUGGCCUUUGGACGGUUCGCCGUCUGUUGGCUGCGGGAAGUUCGUUAAACCUUAUCAUUUAGAGGAAGGAGAAGUCGUAACA